This 1534-nucleotide ribosomal RNA is filed under the name uncultured rumen bacterium. RNAcentral's name for it is "bacterial SSU rRNA". It matches the Rfam family "Bacterial small subunit ribosomal RNA". The record is from RNAcentral.
AGAGUUUGAUCCUGGCUCAGGAUGAACGCUGGCGGCGUGCCUAACACAUGCAAGUCGAACGGGGUUAAGUGAAAUUUUCGGAUGGACCUUAACUUAGUGGCGGACGGGUGAGUAACGCGUGGAUAACCUGCCUCACACAGGGGGAUAGCAGCUGGAAACGGCUGGUAAUACCGCAUAAGACCACGGCCCCGCAUGGGGUUGUAGUAAAAGAUUUAUCGGUGUGAGAUGGAUCCGCGUCUGAUUAGCCAGUUGGCGGGGUAACGGCCCACCAAAGCGACGAUCAGUAGCCGGCCUGAGAGGGUGAACGGCCACAUUGGGACUGAGACACGGCCCAAACUCCUACGGGAGGCAGCAGUGGGGAAUAUUGCACAAUGGGCGCAAGCCUGAUGCAGCAACGCCGCGUGAGUGAAGAAGUAUUUCGGUAUGUAAAGCUCUAUCAGCAGGGAAGAAAGGCUCUUCGGAGAGAUGACGGUACCUGACUAAGAAGCCCCGGCUAACUACGUGCCAGCAGCCGCGGUAAUACGUAGGGGGCAAGCGUUAUCCGGAUUUACUGGGUGUAAAGGGAGCGCAGACGGCAGUGCAAGUCUGAUGUGAAAGCCCGGGGCUCAACCCCGGAACUGCAUUGGAAACUGUACAGCUUGAGUGUCGGAGAGGUAAGCGGAAUUCCUAGUGUAGCGGUGAAAUGCGUAAAUAUUAGGAAGGAACACCGGUGGCGAAGGCGGCUUACUGGACGAUUACUGACGUUGAGGCUCGAAAGCGUGGGGGAGCAAACAGGGAUUAAAAUACCCUGGUAGUCCACCCCUGUAAACGAUGAAUACUAGGUGUGGGGUGUGCACUGCACAUUCCGUGCCGCAGCUAACGCAAUAAGUAUUCCACCUGGGGAGUACGUUCGCAAGAAUGAAACUCAAAGGAAUUGACGGGGACCCGCACAAGCGGUGGAGCAUGUGGUUUAAUUCGAAGCAACGCGAAGAACCUUACCAGGCCUUGACAUCCCAAGGAAAGCUUCUUAACCGGAGCCCCUCUUCGGAGUCUUGGAGACAGGUGGUGCAUGGUUGUCGUCAGCUCGUGUCGUGAGAUGUUGGGUCAAGUCCCGCAACGAGCGCAACCCUUGUCCGUAGUAGCCAGCAGUAAGAUGGGAACUCUACGGAGACUGCCGGGGAUAACCCGGAGGAAGGUGGGGAUGACGUCAAAUCAUCAUGCCCCUUACGGUCUGGGCGACACACGUGCUACAAUGGCGUAACAAAGGGAAGCGAGCCCGCGAGGGGGAGCAAACCCCAAAAAUAGCGUCCCAGUUCGGACUGUAGUCUGCAACCCGACUACACGAAGCCGGAAUCGCUAGUAAUCGCGGAUCAGAAUGCCGCGGUGAAUACGUUCCCGGGUCUUGUACACACCGCCCGUCACACCAUGGGAGUUGGUAAUGCCCGAAGCCGGUGGCCUAACGAAAGAGGGAGCCGUCGAAGGCAGGACCGAUGACUGGGGUGAAGUCGUAACAAGGUAGCUGUAUCGGAAGGUGCGGCUGGAUCACCUCCUUUCU